Molecule: ribosomal RNA, 468 nt
Filed under: uncultured bacterium
Lineage: Bacteria
Description: partial 16S ribosomal RNA
Rfam family: Bacterial small subunit ribosomal RNA
Source: RNAcentral
GACGAACGCUGGCGGCGUGCUUAACACAUGCAAGUCGAACGGAAAGGCCCUGCUUUUGUGGGGUGCUCGAGUGGCGAACGGGUGAGUAACACGUGAGUAACCUGCCCUUGACUUUGGGAUAACUUCAGGAAACUGGGGCUAAUACCGGAUAUGAGCCCCUGCUGCAUGGUGGGGGUUGGAACGCUUCGGCGGUUGGGGAUGGACUCGCGGCUUAUCAGCUUGUUGGUGGGGUAGUGGCUUACCAAGGCUUUGACGGGUAGCCGGCCUGAGAGGGUGACCGGCCACAUUGGGACUGAGAUACGGCCCAGACUCCUACGGGAGGCAGCAGUGGGGAAUAUUGCACAAUGGGCGGAAGCCUGAUGCAGCAACGCCGCGUGCGGGAUGACGGCCUUCGGGUUGUAAACCGCUUUCGCCUGUGACGAAGCGUGAGUGACGGUAAUGGGUAAAGAAGCACCGGCUAACUACGUG